RNAcentral lists this ribosomal RNA (700 nucleotides) under Rhodopseudomonas sp. JA753. Its description in RNAcentral is "bacterial SSU rRNA". It matches the Rfam family "Bacterial small subunit ribosomal RNA", at positions 56 to 802 of the family's 1533-position model. Lineage: Bacteria; Pseudomonadati; Pseudomonadota; Alphaproteobacteria; Hyphomicrobiales; Nitrobacteraceae. The record is from RNAcentral.
UGCAGUCGACGGGCGUAGCAAUACGUCAGUGGCAGACGGGUGAGUAACGCGUGGGAACGUACCUUUUGGUUCGGAACAACUGAGGGAAACUUCAGCUAAUACCGGAUAAGCCCUUACGGGGAAAGAUUUAUCGCCGAAAGAUCGGCCCGCGUCUGAUUAGCUAGUUGGUGAGGUAAUGGCUCACCAAGGCGACGAUCAGUAGCUGGUCUGAGAGGAUGAUCAGCCACAUUGGGACUGAGACACGGCCCAAACUCCUACGGGAGGCAGCAGUGGGGAAUAUUGGACAAUGGGGGCAACCCUGAUCCAGCCAUGCCGCGUGAGUGAUGAAGGCCCUAGGGUUGUAAAGCUCUUUUGUGCGGGAAGAUAAUGACGGUACCGCAAGAAUAAGCCCCGGCUAACUUCGUGCCAGCAGCCGCGGUAAUACGAAGGGGGCUAGCGUUGCUCGGAAUCACUGGGCGUAAAGGGUGCGUAGGCGGGUUUCUAAGUCAGAGGUGAAAGCCUGGAGCUCAACUCCAGAACUGCCUUUGAUACUGGAAGUCUUGAGUUCGGGAGAGGUGAGUGGAACUGCGAGUGUAGAGGUGAAAUUCGUAGAUAUUCGCAAGAACACCAGUGGCGAAGGCGGCUCACUGGCCCGAUACUGACGCUGAGGCACGAAAGCGUGGGGAGCAAACAGGAUUAGAUACCCUGGUAGUCCACGCCG